GAUGAACGCUGGCGGCGUGCCUAAUACAUGCAAGUCGAGCGAACAGACGAGGAGCUUGCUCCUCUGACGUUAGCGGUGGACGGGUGAGUAACACGUGGAUAACCUACCUAUAAGACUGGGAUAACUUCGGGAAACCGGAGCUAAUACCGGAUAACAUGUUUAACCGCAUGGUUCAACAGUUAAAGACGGUCUUGCUGUCACUUAUAGAUGGAUCCGCGCCGCAUUAGCUAGUUGGUAAGGUAACGGCUUACCAAGGAAACGAUGCGUAGCCGACCUGAGAGGGUGGUCGGCCACACUGGAACUGAGACACGGUCCAGACUCCUACGGGAGGCAGCAGUAGGGAAUCUUCCGCAAUGAGCGAAAGCCUGACGGAGCAACGCCGCGUGAGUGAAGAAGGUCUUCGGAUCGUAAAACUCUGUUAUUAGGGAAGAACAAAUGUGUAAGUAACUAUGCACGUCUUGACGGUACCUAAUCAGAAAGCCACGGCUAACUACGUGCCAGCCGCCGCCGUAA
RNAcentral lists this ribosomal RNA (513 nucleotides) under uncultured bacterium. Its description in RNAcentral is "partial 16S ribosomal RNA". It matches the Rfam family "Bacterial small subunit ribosomal RNA", at positions 28 to 523 of the family's 1533-position model. The record is from RNAcentral.